RNAcentral lists this transfer RNA (72 nucleotides) under Bos taurus (domestic cattle). It matches the Rfam family "tRNA". From Rfam's summary of the family: Transfer RNA (tRNA) molecules are approximately 80 nucleotides in length. Their secondary structure includes four short double-helical elements and three loops (D, anti-codon, and T loops). The record is from Rfam by way of RNAcentral. RNAcentral also lists the same sequence under 3 other names. Lineage: Eukaryota; Metazoa; Chordata; Mammalia; Artiodactyla; Bovidae.
UCCCUUGUGGCUCAGCUGGUAAAGAAUCCGCCUGCAAUGCGGGAGACCCGGGUUCAAUCCCUGGGUUGGGAA